ACGUACAGACACCCACCCUGGACACGCCAAUGUUGAAGUCUAAACAGGAUUGGGCCUGAUUAGUCUCUGGAUGGUGGAUCUCUUGGGGCUGCCAGGUGCUGUAGGCC
Molecule: ribosomal RNA, 107 nt
Filed under: Oryzias melastigma (Indian medaka)
Lineage: Eukaryota; Metazoa; Chordata; Actinopteri; Beloniformes; Adrianichthyidae
Source: RNAcentral